GACGAAUCGUGCAAACGUUGUUCGGAAUCACUGGGCUUAAAGGGCGCGUAGGCGGGCAGCCAAGUCGGUGGUGAAAUCUUUCGGCUCAACCGGAAAAUUGCCAUUGAUACUGGUUGUCUCGAGGGAGGUAGGGGCAGAUGGAACUUCCAGUGGAGCGGUGAAAUGUGUUGAUAUUGGAAGGAACGCCGGUGGCGAAAGCGGUCUGCUGGACCUCUUCUGACGCUGAGGCGCGAAAGCUAGGGGAGCAAACGGG
This 253-nucleotide unclassified non-coding RNA is filed under the name uncultured Planctomycetia bacterium. RNAcentral's name for it is "contains 16S-23S intergenic spacer region". It matches the Rfam family "Bacterial small subunit ribosomal RNA", at positions 524 to 776 of the family's 1533-position model. The record is from RNAcentral. Lineage: Bacteria; Pseudomonadati; Planctomycetota; Planctomycetia.